GACGAACGCUGGCGGCGUGCUUAACACAUGCAAGUCGAACGGAAAGGCCCUGCUUUUGUGGGGUGCUCGAGUGGCGAACGGGUGAGUAACACGUGAGUAACCUGCCCUUGACUUUGGGAUAACUUCAGGAAACUGGGGCUAAUACCGUAUAGGAGCUCCUGCUGCAUGGUGGGGGUUGGAAAGUUUCGGCGGUUGGGGAUGGACUCGCGGCUUAUCAGCUUGUUGGUGGGGUAGUGGCUUACCAAGGCUUUGACGGGUAGCCGGCCUGAGAGGGUGACCGGCCACAUUGGGACUGCGAUACGGCCCAGACUCCUACGGGAGGCAGCAGUGGGGAAUAUUGCACAAUGGGCGGAAGCCUGAUGAAGCAACGCCGCGUGCGGGAUGACGGCCUUCGGGUUGUAAACCGCUUUCGCCUGUGACGAAGCGUGAGUGACGGUAAUGGGUAAAGAAGCACCGGCUAACUACGUG
This 468-nucleotide ribosomal RNA is filed under the name uncultured bacterium. Its description in RNAcentral is "partial 16S ribosomal RNA". It matches the Rfam family "Bacterial small subunit ribosomal RNA", at positions 28 to 507 of the family's 1533-position model. The record is from RNAcentral.